RNAcentral lists this long non-coding RNA (1220 nucleotides) under Cricetulus griseus (Chinese hamster). RNAcentral describes it as "lncRNA (ENSCGRG00015039226.1)". Lineage: Eukaryota; Metazoa; Chordata; Mammalia; Rodentia; Cricetidae. The record is from RNAcentral.
AAGCUGAUUGACCAAUGGCUAGGCAUGAUUUUCAGGGCAGAGAGAAUGCUGGAAAGAAAGGGAAGAGUCUGAGGAGACACCAUGAGAAGCAGAGGGAACGGGAUAGGAAGUAUGUACAUGAGAGACAGUUGCUGGGAUUUGGGGUCAUCAAACAGCAACCGAGGUGGAGCUUCUGCCUCUGCAAAAAGGCUCAGCGGCUCAGAGCGCCACAUAAGCAAUGAAAGAUGGCAAAGACAUCGAACUUCAACAAACCCUGCAAGCUUCCAGACAGUUCAUGCUCCUAAUCCAAGACUGCCUCUCAUAAACACCAAUGACCAUGGGUAACCACGCUGCGCAGUCACCAAAACCGAUGGCCAUGGGUAACCAGGCUGCGCAGUCACCAAAACUGAUGACCAUGGGUAACCAUGCUGUGCAGUCACCAAAACCGAGCCAUGGGUAACCAGGCUGCGCAGUCACCAAAACUGAUGACCAUGGGUAACCAUGCUGUGCAGUCACCAGUAAAGACAACCACUUCCAGGCAGCUCCUGCAAAGCUUCCACUUCUGGCCUGAAAUGCAUUGUUUGCUUGGCGAAAUCCAGAGACAUGAGAACUUCCUACGGUAAAUGUUGAUACAAGAAACAUGUCCUAAGUGACCAGCCAUAUUUAUCAAGCAGGGACAUCGGCGUGUUGGCAGAGCAGUUUCAAAUCGAUACAGUCCUUUCACGAGCAGAAAUUCAAGCAGAUGCUCAGAUUGACAAUGUCCCCCAGAUGGAUAUACUUGUCUGCCUGUUUCCAACCUUCGUGGGCACCUGUACUUGGCAUGCUCAUCCUAAAAGCUGAGCCUCACACUACACUCAUAAGUGUUUCUGAAGAAGAAAGUUCUAGCAGCCGAGUUUCUCCCAGUGUCCAAGAGAAGCUGGGGUCAAUCUUACACCUACAUUCCAAAAUAUGUAUUAUUUCUUUAAAAUGAAAUUAAACUAUUUGAGGGAAACCAUGGUUCUCUUUCACAUUUCCAAGUUCGGGUUUCUGUAACUACCUUUAUUUUAAAAUUUCUCCAGGGAAUGAAUCCAGCUGGGGCUUCAAGCAUGCUAGGCAAGCACUCUACCAUUAACACAUCAGGCCCAUAGCUAUUCAGUCAAGAUGAUUUUGUUAUAAAGUGUUUCUCUGUUUUAUCUUUCAAAUAUUAAAUAUUGACAUUCUUUGAAGGAGUUGGAAACAAAAUAAUGAAAGCAAAAUUAUCA